UAAAAUGGGAAAUAUUUUUGGGGUGGAAUGGAUAGAGAUAAUGGGGUAUGCUAGCAGACAUUUCUACCACCAUAUUCUUCUCAUCUCUCUUUCACAGAUUCUUCUUUCUUAGUGUCCAUGAAUCCACUCUUUCAAACUUCUUUUUCUUCCUCUUCUUGGGCUGCUCUCUUGUGUAGUAGUUGUUCUUCUUGUGUUGCUUCUUUGUUGCCCAUAUCUCCACAUGGGAGCUUUGUUGGGAGUCAAAGUUUAACAAACACAUAGAUUUAUUUUCUCUUUUGGGGGGUUUUAUGUUUGUUGAUGAAGUAGAUUUCGUGUCAGAUUCUUUGCCGGGAUGUUCUGAUUUGAUGAGUUAAUUUGGAAUCUGAGUUGGUGAUGUUUGGCCCAUUUCUUGUUCUGGGUUUUGGUUGGUAGCUGAGAGGAUAAUUAGCAAAUUCUGUUUGGAAUUGGAAGUUCAGAAUCUGGGGAUUCUUUGAUUCUUUUUUGGGGCGUGGUGAAUUUCUUUACUCAAAUUUUUGGGACUUGUUUGCCAUCUGAUUUUGAGGCUCUUUUGGUGGAUAAGAUAGCAUCUUGCUCACUCUGACCUCCCUUUUCAUUCCCUUUGUUUGUAGUGAUUUUGGAAGUGGGUUGGGUUUGGCUCUUCCUCUUCUCUUCCCUUCCCUUCCAAGUUUAGAUUUUUUUUCCUUUUUUCUUUUGAUGUUGGUUUUCAGUAGACAGUUUCUGUAGAUUUGAUAGUGGCUCUUUCUCUCUAGAAGAAGUCAGACCCACUUCUUCUUGUAAAUGUUUCUUGUAGACGUUGUUGGACACUGUUGUGGAUGAGUUUUCUCCAUGUGUUGGGGUUUGGUCUGAAGGCGGGACAUCUCCUUUUGAUGCUAUGUUGCUGGAUUAUAUCUGUGAUCCCUGUGAACUGGUUCAUUAAUGGUGGAGUCAUGGAAACCAAGGCUGGUUUACUUAGUGAUGGUGGAAAGAUAUGGAUGAGAUUGUGGGAGAAGAUGUUUGGGAACAGUGGUAAGAUCCCCCAUCACUGGUACCAGAAGUUUUGGUCCAAGAAGGUUGGAAGGACAUGGUGGAGAAAGCUUUUGUUUACAUGGGUUCUGAUGUGGAUCAUGGUGUCUUUGUGGAUCUUCUCGUAUCUGAGCCUACAAGCUUCUGAAAAGAGGAAGGAAACCCUUGGAAGCAUGUGUGAUGAGAGGGCUAGGAUGUUGCAGGAUCAGUUUAAUGUGAGUAUGAACCAUGUUCAGGCCAUGUCCAUUUUGAUCUCAACCUUCCACCAUGGCAAGAACCCAUCUGCAAUUGAUCAGGGGACUUUUGCGAGGUACACUGAAAGAACUGCUUUCGAGAGGCCCCUCACAAGUGGCGUGGCAUAUGCGGUGAGGGUGCUCCACUCGGAAAGAGAACAAUUCGAGAAGCAACAAGGCUGGACUAUUAAGAGGAUGGAUACGCCUGAGCAAACGCCGGUUCAUGAGGAUAACCAUGCCUCGGAGAACCUGGAGCCCUCCCCAGUUCAGGAAGAAUAUGCCCCUGUCAUUUUUGCACAAGAUACCGUCUCACAUGUGAUUUCGCUUGAUAUGCUGUCAGGAAAGGAAGAUCGUGAAAAUGUGUUGCGCGCAAGAGCAUCAGGAAAAGCGGUUCUCACCGCUCCUUUCAGGCUAUUCAAAACUAACAGCCUUGGAGUUAUAUUGACAUUUGCUGUCUACAAGUCAGAUCUCCCGUCAAAUGCAACACCAAAUGAGAGGAUCCAAGCGACCCAUGGGUAUCUUGGUGGAGUCUUUCAUAUUGAAUCACUCGUGGAGAAGUUACUUCAACAGCUUGCAAGCAAGCAAACUAUCCUUGUCAAUGUGUAUGACACAACUGAUACUGACCACCCAAUCAGCAUGUAUGGUUCAAAUGUGUCGGAUGAUGGCUUACAGCGUGUUAGCGCCCUUAACUUUGGGGACCCAUUCAGAAAGCAUGAGAUGCGCUGCAGAUUCAAACAAAAAGCACCAUGGCCAUGGCUAGCAAUAACAACUUCAACUGGCAUACUUGUAAUUGCAUUGCUUGUUGGGCAUAUAUUCCAUGCGACAGUGAACAGAAUAGCUAAAGUCGAGGAGGAUUACCGGGACAUGAUGAUGCUCAAAAAGCGAGCAGAGGCAGCUGAUGUUGCAAAAUCUCAGUUCCUUGCCACUGUUUCUCAUGAGAUCAGAACCCCAAUGAAUGGUGUUCUCGGAAUGUUACAUAUGCUUAUAGACACGGAUCUAGAUGUAACUCAACAAGACUACGUGAGAACUGCACAGGCUAGUGGAAAAGCUCUAGUGUCACUUAUAAAUGAGGUUUUGGACCAGGCAAAGAUUGAAUCUGGUAAACUUGAGCUUGAGGAAUUACAGUUUGAUCUGCAGGCAAUUUUGGAUGAUGUCUUGUCCCUCUUUUCUGGAAAAUCUCAAGAAAAAGGAGUGGAGUUGGCAGUUUAUAUUUCUGAUCGAGUUCCCAAAAUGCUAAUCGGUGAUCCGGGGAGGUUUCGCCAAAUCAUCACCAAUCUCAUGGGAAACUCAAUCAAAUUUACAGAGAAAGGGCACAUCUUUGUUACCAUUCAUCUUGUGGAGGAGUUGAUGGAUUCAAUAGAAGUUGAGACAGAGUCAUCAUCUAAAAACACCUUAAGUGGUCUCCCUGUAGCAGAUAGACGCUGCAGCUGGGAAGGAUUCAGGACUUUCAAUCAAGAGGGACUCACUAGUCCUUUCUCAUCAUCCUCCUCCGACCUCAUCCAUCUAAUUAUAUCAGUUGAGGAUACAGGUGUAGGUAUCCCUGAAGAAGCUCAAUCUCGUGUUUUCACUCCCUUCAUGCAGGUGGGUCCGUCCAUUUCUAGAAUACAUGGGGGCACAGGUAUCGGGUUAAGCAUAAGCAAAUGUUUGGUUGGCCUUAUGAAUGGAGAAAUCGGGUUUGUAAGUAGACCCAAUGUUGGAUCCACUUUCACUUUUACUGCUGUCUUCUCCGGUGGCUGCUCCAAAUCAAAUGAGUACAAGUGCCAGCCAACUAACAACCAGUCCAAUGCUGUCUCGUCAGAAUUUCAGGGCAUGGCAGCCUUAGUUGUGGACCCCAACCCUGUACGGGCCAAGGUGUCAAGGUAUCAUAUCCAGCGGCUGGGGAUCCGUGUUGAAGUCACUUCAGAUUUGAAUCAAGUUUUCUCCAGCAUAAGCAGUGGGAAUACAGCUAUCAACAUGGUCCUAGUUGAACAGGACGUUUGGGAUAAGGACUCAAACCUUUCUGCUCUCUUUGUUAAUAAAUUAAAGAAACUUGAUCUGGAGGUUCCUCCUAAACUGUUUCUUCUAGCUAAUUCCAUCAACUCGACCAGAAAUAGUGCUGCAAUUUCUGGGGUUUAUAAUCCAACUGUCAUCAUGAAGCCUCUGAGGGCCAGUAUGCUGGCUGCAUCUCUACAACGAGCCCUGGGUGUUGGGAACAAGGGGGUUUGCCAGAAUGGAGAGCACCCCAGUUUGUCUCUCCGCAAUCUUCUUCGUGGGAGAAAAAUUCUAGUUGUGGAUGACAAUAAUGUGAACCUCAGAGUGGCUGCUGGUGCAUUGAAGAAGUACGGAGCUGAUGUCGUCUGUGCAGACAGUGGGAAAAGUGCAAUCCCACUGCUUAAACCUCCCCACGACUUUGAUGCCUGUUUCAUGGAUAUCCAGAUGCCAGAAAUGGACGGGUUUGAAGCUACUGGGAUAAUUAGGGAAAUGGAACGGAACGUCAAUAGUCGAAUCCAACAUGGAGAAGUUUCUGUGGAAGCUUACGCAAAUAUUUCGAACUGGCACCUACCCAUUUUGGCCAUGACUGCAGAUGUCAUCCAGGCCACACACGAGGAAUGCCUGAGGUGCGGAAUGGAUGGAUACGUAUCAAAACCAUUUGAAGCUGAACAACUUUAUCGCGAGGUUUCACGCUUCUUUCAACCACCUCCAGAACAGAACCAAUAGAGGAUUUCCACAAGUCUACUACAGGCUUGCUGAUGACAUAAAGCUCAGGUGACCCAUCUUCAGGAUUCUUUUGAAUUCUCGAAUGGGAUCGACUUUUUCCCCACGAGAAAAUAACUUGUUUGGUUAACAAAGACUGUACAUACAAGCCAUGCCUGAUGGGUGGAGAUUGGAUUUGGAUUGAUUGCUUGACAACCCAGAUACCAUAACAGAUUCAUUUUUUCUCAGAAAAUAUUGAUCUCAUCUUCCAAGCCUUCCAUCAGGACCUUUAUUCGGGAGCAUGUGGAAGUAAAAGUUCUUCAAAGGGACUUCACCAUCUGGAGGGAUCAGAGGGACUCGGGUCUUUUCCCCGCAAGAAUAAUGAAGAAAGACCUCCUCCUCACCCCUUCCCUAUUUUUUUGUCCUUCACAUAAAUCACUGCUUGUAUAGAUAUGAAAGGUAGCAUAGCAGCCACAGGGGAUGAUGCUUCUUGUAUAUUACAAUUUUCAAUAAAGAUGAUGGGCAUGGGCUCAAACUGGCCUUCUGAUUCUAACAAUGCCAAAGGUUUGUUUUAUUAGGAGUUGAUGUAACCAAAACUACAAUUCGAAUUUUGAGUAAUCCCAUCUGAAUUUUUUCCUUUUUUGUA
Vitis riparia (riverbank grape) is the source of this 4554-nucleotide RNA transcript. It is a transcript of the gene named histidine kinase 3, with no coding region annotated. Lineage: Eukaryota; Viridiplantae; Streptophyta; Magnoliopsida; Vitales; Vitaceae. The record is from RefSeq and is a predicted model, not a curated record. The transcript has 11 exons.